RNAcentral lists this long non-coding RNA (421 nucleotides) under Lathyrus oleraceus (garden pea). RNAcentral describes it as "Pisum sativum (pea) long non-coding RNA (PSAT_LNC031549)". The record is from RNAcentral. Lineage: Eukaryota; Viridiplantae; Streptophyta; Magnoliopsida; Fabales; Fabaceae.
CAGAGUAUGAGACAAGAAUCAUCACCUACACUACAAAACUCUUGUGCACUGCAAUCCAAAACAACAACAAAAAUGACUUAUAUCAGAUAAUGAUCAGAUAAAACCAUUAUAAUAACUUAAAACAAUAUAGGUAAAAAGAGUCCAAAAGUAAUUCAUUAGGAUUUUACUGACCCCAAAAAAUAGAUACACAUAAACUACCACAAGCAUGACUAAUACAAGAAACAGCUACUUGAAGGGCAAAAUUGCACAUCUUCAACAGUAUCUUUAUGACCACGGUAGAUGCCCUUGUCCAACAGGGGCUUUCUGCAGUUUCUCACCACUUCCACAACAUUAGAGCCCUGUUUAACAUCAGGUCCUGCUUCAGUAGCUAAAGUUGCAAUGUGAUCAUGAAUACUCCAUAACACCACAUGUUUGUCCCUGC